This 79-nucleotide ribosomal RNA is filed under the name uncultured bacterium. RNAcentral's name for it is "partial 16S ribosomal RNA". It matches the Rfam family "Bacterial small subunit ribosomal RNA", at positions 276 to 354 of the family's 1533-position model. The record is from RNAcentral.
GCGAUCAGUAGCCGGCCUGAGAGGGUGACCGGCCACACUGGGACUGAGACACGGCCCAGACUCCUACGGAAGGCAGCAG